This 263-nucleotide ribosomal RNA is filed under the name Dolophilodes distinctus. RNAcentral's name for it is "partial 28S large subunit ribosomal RNA". It matches the Rfam family "Eukaryotic large subunit ribosomal RNA", at positions 648 to 855 of the family's 3401-position model. The record is from RNAcentral. Lineage: Eukaryota; Metazoa; Arthropoda; Insecta; Trichoptera; Philopotamidae.
CCCGUCUUGAAACACGGACCAAGGAGUCUAGCAUGUGCGCGAGUCAUUGGGAACUCGUAAACCCAGAGGCGCAAUGAAAGUGAACAGCGUCGUUUUUAUAACGGCCGCAGGGAAGAUGGCGGUCGGUGAUGCAAAGAGCCGUCCUUGCCCGCAAUCCCGAGGCGUUUCGAGAAAUGCCACCGUUGCGAUUAUCGAGACGCACUGAGAGCGCACACGCUGGGACCCGAAAGAUGGUGAACUAUGCCUGGUCAGGUCGAAGUCAG